UGGAUAGCUCAGUUGGUUAGAGUGUGGUGCUGAUGAUGCCAAGGUUCAAGUUCAAUUCCCUUAUGGGACAG
Molecule: transfer RNA, 71 nt
Filed under: Podarcis lilfordi (Lilford's wall lizard)
Lineage: Eukaryota; Metazoa; Chordata; Lepidosauria; Squamata; Lacertidae
Description: tRNA.Ile
Source: RNAcentral